UGGGGUGUGGCAGGUUGGUAGAUGCUAUGCAGCCCAUAAAAUGGGCGUAAACGAGGUAUGUAAGGAUAGAUGGUCCCGCGCUGGUUCGAAUCCAGUCACCCCAA
Molecule: transfer RNA, 104 nt
Filed under: Sphingobacterium yanglingense
Lineage: Bacteria; Pseudomonadati; Bacteroidota; Sphingobacteriia; Sphingobacteriales; Sphingobacteriaceae
Description: tRNA-Ile
Source: RNAcentral